RNAcentral lists this ribosomal RNA (497 nucleotides) under uncultured bacterium. RNAcentral's name for it is "partial 16S ribosomal RNA". It matches the Rfam family "Bacterial small subunit ribosomal RNA", at positions 28 to 507 of the family's 1533-position model. The record is from RNAcentral.
GAUGAACGCUGGCGGCGUGCCUAAUACAUGCAAGUCGAGCGAACAGACGAGGAGCUUGCUCCUCUGACGUUAGCGGCGGACGGGUGAGUAACACGUGGAUCACCUACCUAUCAUACUGGGAUAACUUCGGGACACCGGAGCUAAUACCGGAUAAUAUAUUGAACCGCAUGGUUCAAUAGUGAAAGACGGUUUUGCUGUCACUUAUAGAUGGAUCCGCGCCGCAUUAGCUAGUUGGUAAGGUAACGGCUUACCACGGCAACGAUGCGUAGCCGAGCUGAGAGGGUGAUCGCCGACAUUGGAACUGAGACGCGGUCCAGAGUCCUACGGGAGGCAGCAGUAGGGAAUCUGACGCAAUGGGCGAAAGCCUGACGGAGCAACCCGGCGCGAGUUAUGAAGGCGCUCCGAGCGUAAAACUCUCUUAUGAGGUAAGAACAACUGUGGAAGGAACCAUGCCCGUCUUGACGGUACCGAAUCAGAAAGCCACGGCUAACUACGUG